UGGGGAAUAUUGGACAAUGGGCGAAAGCCUGAUCCAGCCAUGCCGCGUGUGUGAAGAAGGUCUUCGGAUUGUAAAGCACUUUAAGUUGGGAGGAAGGGCAGUAAGCGAAUACCUUGCUGUUUUGACGUUACCGACAGAAUAAGCACCGGCUAACUCUGUGCCAGCAGCCGCGGUAAUACAGAGGGUGCAAGCGUUAAUCGGAAUUACUGGGCGUAAAGCGCGCGUAGGUGGUUCGUUAAGUUGAAUGUGAAAGCCCCGGGCUCAACCUGGGAACUGCAUCCAAAACUGGCGAGCUAGAGUAGGGCAGAGGGUGGUGGAAGUUCCUGUGUAGCGGUGAAAUGCAUAGAUAUAGGAGGGAACACCAGUGGCGAAGGCGACCACCUGGGCUCAUACUGACACUGAGGUGCGAAAGCGUGGGGAGCAAACAGG
RNAcentral lists this ribosomal RNA (429 nucleotides) under Pseudomonadota bacterium. RNAcentral's name for it is "Proteobacteria bacterium partial 16S ribosomal RNA". It matches the Rfam family "Bacterial small subunit ribosomal RNA", at positions 355 to 776 of the family's 1533-position model. The record is from RNAcentral. Lineage: Bacteria; Pseudomonadati; Pseudomonadota.